Molecule: ribosomal RNA, 334 nt
Filed under: uncultured bacterium
Lineage: Bacteria
Description: bacterial SSU rRNA
Rfam family: Bacterial small subunit ribosomal RNA
Source: RNAcentral
CAGAGAGAGACAGGUGGUGCANGGUUGUCGUCAGCUCGUGUCGUGAGAUGUUGGGUUAAGUCCGCAACGAGCGCAACCCUUGUCUUUAGUUGCCAGCAUUUAGGAUGGGCACUCUAGAGAGACUGCCGGGGAUAACUCGGAGGAAGGUGGGGAUGACGUCAAGUCAUCAUGCCCCUUAUGUUCUGGGCUACACACGUGCUACAAUGGCCGAUACAAAGAGAAGCAAGACCGUGAGGUGGAGCGAAUCUCAAAAACCGGCCCCNGUUCGGAUUGUAGGCUGCAACUCGCCUACAUGAAGCCGGAGUUGCUAGUAAUCGCAGAUCAGAAUGCUGCG